Molecule: long non-coding RNA, 343 nt
Filed under: Ananas comosus (pineapple)
Lineage: Eukaryota; Viridiplantae; Streptophyta; Magnoliopsida; Poales; Bromeliaceae
Description: long non-coding RNA (ACOM_LNC038631)
Source: RNAcentral
UGCGGUCUUUCGGCAACCGAUUUAUGUCGUUUCGGAGGUGGUGGAGUGUCAGUAUCGAUCGAUCUUUUUUUUUGAAGCUGGGACCGAUGAAGAAGUUGGGAGUGACUGUAUAUGAAAAUGGAUAAAAGAAAUAAGUAUUAAUCAUAUUAAGAAAAGAAAGUCAAAAUAAAGAUAAAGUUCAUUACAGAAGAAGAAGGCGGGACAUCAGAGUUAUGAUCAGAAGUCUUCUCUGAUUCUUCUUUUGGUGGAGAUGGGGCAGGGGUAUCAGUCGAAACAAAUGGAUGAAUAGUUUUAUGGAAUGCCCGAGGCAGAGAAAGGUAAAAAAUACGAUCAGUAAACUGAU